This 517-nucleotide long non-coding RNA is filed under the name Panax ginseng (ginseng). RNAcentral describes it as "long non-coding RNA (PGIN_LNC007839)". The record is from RNAcentral. Lineage: Eukaryota; Viridiplantae; Streptophyta; Magnoliopsida; Apiales; Araliaceae.
CUCACUUCACAAGAGAAGGAGUUCAUAAAUACUUUAUAAAUAGCGCUCGCUCACUUAACUCAUAGGAGAUCUCAAUUCACACAAUAUAGUCAAAGUUCCCCAGUCAAUCAAGGCUCAAGCAACAAGAACUCUAUGAACACCGAUGUGUCGGCAAAAGAGUACUCACUCUGUUUCGUCACUCUCUUUUAGUGAUAAGAUUCCCAAAUGUCACUAGAGAACUUACUAUAUCUAAAUCAGACCGUUGAUCAUGGCAUUUCAAUUGGUGGAAAAUCAUUGAGGGCGUCCAAGAAGGUAUGAAAUAAAGAAACUCACCAACUGGCCUUGGCUCAGUUGGAUUUUUCUUGACGUGCUUGUGGAGCUGGACCGGGACAAGUCAAUGUUUGUAGAGUUUAUUUUCACAGAAUAAUAGAGUAAGUUGUUGAUUUGGUUCACUAAUUGAUCUGGUUUUAUGCUAGGGUCACGACAUAAGUUGAAGUGGUACUUUUUUUUUGUUGUUGAAUAAACAUCAUAUCAAAAC